Anguilla rostrata (American eel) is the source of this 1213-nucleotide long non-coding RNA. RefSeq lists it as uncharacterized. The record is from RefSeq and is a predicted model, not a curated record. NCBI's taxonomy places the organism in Eukaryota, Metazoa, Chordata, Actinopteri, Anguilliformes, Anguillidae. The transcript is spliced from 2 exons.
CUGGUACUGAAUAUGGGUUAAAAGCUGUGCAGCAGCAUAAUGAAUAACUAAUUACUACAAUGGAAAAAGUGAAGAAACUCCUCAAGCAAGGUUUUGUCCAAUCAUUGCCAUAAUAUGAGCUUGAUUGACAGCAAGCUAUUGAGCAAUCGUGUGAGUGAUAACGCCCCAUUAAACUGUUGCGGGGAGGAAUGAGAGGAGAAGCACGCAGACUGCUUUUGGGAUGACAGAGGACACGCUGGCAAUCGCUACAUCAACAGAAGCUGCUAAAGCUAAAUAAUACGAUAAAGUCAGAAAGUAGUUACUAUAAACUUAGUGAACGGAUUUACAUCGGCAUAACCUGUAGCUGCCUUACGGCCGUUGGUUCGGUUUUAAAACUUCGGUGACGCCUCAUGGUUCGUGCUGGGCGCCGCCAUUUUAGAACCAUAUGGGACACACCAUCAUCGGUGAGAAUGGCAAUUCAUAUUUCGUUUGCUUUUAUGUUUUAUGUUGAAACAUUAUUGUUAAACCGAAUUGCAUUUACAAUGUGAAAGAUUGAAUGUACUCAUUACAAAUGAGUACUUAAUUACUUUAACAUUGUUGAUAUUGUCAGAUUAUAUUGUGUUAGAUUUUAAUGCACAACUACCUCUGACCUGAUGUUAUGCAGGUCAGGUUUUUUUCUUUCUUGGUUUAUUUGCUUGAAUCAGCCCUGCUCUGGUUAUCCAAGGAUGGCGAGCCAACCGUUGUGAAACUUGGGACCCUGGAUUUUGUUUUGAUUUUCCUUGGAUGGAUUCUGAGCAGUAACCACUCUCUCCAGUGUGGUAGGACAGUGAUGCACUUUCACUCUCUGACCUGCUACAAGCAGUGCAGUUCUGGACAAUUGACACAUACACACUAAGACAUAUUCUGUGUCUUUGGGACUGUUAAUGUACACUUGUACGUGUUUAAUUGCACCAGUUAAAUUUUGUGUUUAAUUGCACCAGUUUUAUUGUGAACGCAAGCGAUAAUUUUGAACUCCUGAGUGAAUAAUUGAUUGUUAUUGAUCUAUUGAUAACUGCAACGGUUUACUACUGCAACUAUGGUUUCUCAGUCAGGAUAGCGGGUGCACCCUCAGAUCAGAUAAUUGAUAUCAGUCUUGUUGAUAUUCAUGGGCCUAUGCACAUUUCUGGUGUAAAUUUAUUUUAUUAUUUUUAUUUUACAAUUGAAAAGUGACAAUACAAGCCGGUUAAAAAGGUAA